UCCUGGUCACCUAGGGUGACAUAUUGAAGUAACUCCAAUGCUAUCUUUGCCAGGAAUGUGAUAUCAUUGUUUUUUGGAUUUUUAUCCAUUGGUUGAAUGUAGGACUGUGUACUACCACAGAGGGUGGGAAAAAAAACCUCCAUCUGCAUCCAAGGUAAGUUUGAAUGGUUCCCAGUGAUUAUAAACUUAUUGUCAGAAUCGCUGUGUGCAGCUAGACCUACCUACAUCAGGCAUCUAUUUUAGAACUGAGAUAUCUCCAAAUUAAUUCUUAUUUUAUUAAUAGACAAAAGGAAUGCACUAAUUUGAAACCCAUGCACACAUUCAUAAAAUCCAAUGAUCAUCAAAUCAAUUGUUGAGAACUUGAAGCGCUAAAUUUAGGGAAUAAUGUAUUAGUUCAUUGACAUAAUUCACAAUUGUCGGUGUAUGUUGACAAUAAACACAGGCUGACAUUUGGCCAGGUGUGUUAUUGUUUUGAAAUUCUCCAUGACAAUGUGCUUCCCUAUAGCACAUAACAAGGGACGCCGAUAAUGCUCUAGCAUUGCUCACCAGUACUGCCCCAGGUGUCACAAGAUUUAAAAAUGUUUUCUUUGAAAAAUUUGUUGGCAUGUACAACCCAAUAUGAUCAUAUAUACCCUUCAUUUCUCUCUGUAACUUCCUCCUUAUACUUCCCCAUACUUCCCCUCAUAAAUCCAUAUCUUUAAAAUAUAAUUGACUAAGUUCAGUUAGUGAUGCCUGGUGCAUGAAUAUGGAGCAAUUACUGUAGUGUGGGAAACCAUUCAGUGACUACACCCUAAAAAUAAAAUGAUUCUUCUUCUUUCUGUGAUUAUCCAUUGCCAAUAGCUCCUCAGUCAGGGGUGGGGCCUGCAGAUCAUCUACCUUAUCUAUGCCAGAGUUUUAGAUGGUUUGAUCUUGUGUAUGCAACCAUGACAGCUGUCAAUUCCUGAGUGAGACAGACUGUCAUGUCCAGAAGACAGCACCUCAUAAUAUUCCUCUUUAUCUAUCAGCUCUCUCAUUCUUUCUGCCUCUACUUCCAGGCUUUUCUCUGCACCUUGGUGGUGGCUCUGUUUAGAUAUUCUGUUUAAGGCUGAGCACCCAGUCUCUCAUUCUCAGCACCUGAUGAGUUAUGCAUCUCUGCAAUGACUGCCGUCCACCGCAAAAAGAUAUUUCUCUGAUCAAGGUUGAGAGCAGCCCAGGUCAAUGGGCAGAAAUACAAAUACUUAGAAGGUGAUUUGCCACAGAAUCUUCAUGCAUGGAUUCACGAGCUAAACAAGGGAGAGAGAAUAACAGACAUAAACAGGAAGACCAUUGUUUCCUGCUUUGCACAGAUGGAGGAAGCUGAAUCGUCCAAUCCCAUGUUCAUCACCCUUUUCCUUGUUUCUUCAUUUCAAGCCCAUAGUGACUGCCCUCUGUGAUCAUUUGUUUUUAUAAAGAAUUUAAGAAAUGAAUAUUUUCUCACUGUGCUAUGUGGUCUUUGUUUCCUCUCUAAAUCCACAUGUUGAAAGCCCCAGAGUGAUAGGUAGUAUUUGGAGGAGGACUCUCUGGGAGAUGAUGAGAUAGGAGUGUGGAGCCCUGAAGGGAGGGAUUAGUGCCCUUAUAAAGCAGAUCCCAAGGAGCUUAAUUCUCUUCUAUUGUCAGAACCAGAAAAAUGGACCUCCAAAGACACUGAAUCUGUCUUGACCUCAAAGUUCUCAACUUUUAGAACUGUGAGUAAAGAAAUGUUUCCUGUUUCAGCCUUUCAGCUGUAACACUGGCUGGAGCCAAUGAAGACACAGCCACUAGAGUUUUGUAAUGCUCAACUGGGUAGAGCAGUUGACAGGUGAGUUAAGAAGUAUAUAAACUAAAAGACCAAAACAAAGAAACCUCUGAAGAUCAUGUUCCCAAGUGGUUACUUUUCACCCAACAGCCAUGGACUGAGUUCCACACAAAUCUUUUGGGGCCCCUGUUGUGUCCUGAGAGCCAUUGUUAUGAAAAUUUUAUUUCUCACACAAACGAGCUCUUAAGUUGUUUUCAAAGUUACUUUCGCAAUUACUCUUUGCAUUUUAAGUAAUGAAAUUAAUCUAAUUUAAAUACUCUUUUUAAUGGCAAGCCUAUUGCAUGUCUACAUUGAUUUUUCUCAUUUCCAUAUUAUUCUCAAUCUCAUUUCAGCCUGCUUCCCUUGUCAUUGCUAUUGUUUAUUCUGAUGGUUGUAACAUUUUAUUUAUUUUUAUUGAAGUUGACAAUUUUUAAUCGUAUAAGUGUAUGGGACAAAAAUGACAUUAUGAUUUAUGAAUUUAAUGUAUAAUAAAGAAAGAAGUUAGUUAACAUAUCUGUCAUCUCAAAUGUUGGAUAUAUUUUGCUAUGAAGUCAUUUAAAAUUUAUUGUCUUAGCAAGUCUCAAAUGUAUUCUAUUAUUAAUUAUAUUCUGCAUAUUGGGACACAAAGUGAUGUUAUGAUUUAUAGACACAUUGUGGGACAAUGAAACCAAGCUAGUAAGCAUAGCUGUCAGUUACCUCAAAUAAUGAACAUGUUUUGUCAUGAGAAUAUUUAAAAUUUACUCUCUGCAAGUUUGAAAUGUGAACACUCUAUUAUCAAUGCUCUUCAGUGUGUUGCUGAAUAGAGAUGAAGACAAACAAAACAUGUUUCUCCUGAUUGAGGUCUUAUACCCUCCUGCUAUCAUUUCCCUGGUUUUGAAUGGCAGUAUUAAAUAUGUUCGAAUAGAAAAUUCUAGGUGCCACACCAACUCCAGUGUCGUCCGUGUGACAUUAACAAUUAUGUCAAUAGCAGCGGACGGGAGAUACGUGUCCCAUGGGACUAAGCUCCCUGGAGGUCCCUGGCAGAGUGCCUGCAUUAUGCUUCCUUCUCAGAGAAGAUGUACUUCACAGAUCAUGAGCUCCCUGGGCUAUGGAUUCUGUAUAACUGCUUUUCUGAUAAUGUUCUAAUUAAUCUAUGAAGCACAGCCAAAAUUAAUGAAUGCUCGGGUUGUGAACUAUGGAGGAAAGGGGAAGCUGAACAUGGAUCUUAACCAGAUAUAGCAGAGUGAGCUAUUUCUUAAAGACCCCAAGCCGCUAGAUAAAGAAAGUAUAAAGGUUCAGGCACUUCUAGGGAAUGAACACUCACCCACUAGGAAUCCUUUAAGAAUUCCAACUAAAGUGGCUUAUGGUAGAAAACGUUAUCUCAUAGGAGGCAGAUGAUGGGCCUCUCUGUUGAGGAAGUUCAGCAUGGGAAACUUAAGGACUACAGCAGAACCCCUUCCCCUUACAGGUGAAAAAGUACAAGAGUCCAUAUUCCAGCAGGCAAAAAGGUUUUAUGUUAAAAGAGAUAUGUGGUGGAAGAACUGAAGAAAGACUUAGAGCGGGUCUACAGCAUCCAAAUUGGCUAAGUGGGUCAUGAAAACCAAAAAAGUAAAAACGUAUAAUAAACUAAAAAACUGCUGAGAUAAGAUAAAGGACACAGCUACAACUGCAAGAAGUCUACACAAAUCUGGGGACUGUAUUAAGUUUAAAAAACACAGACUGCUCUUUGGGUCAUAAAGUUCUUGUGAGUGAAGGGAUAUGUCUAGCACCGAUUAAUAAUUAUGUACUUGCUGUUUUUUAAAGAUGAUGUAAUUGAAUUAUUGCCAAGUUCUUGUUGUUCCUUGUAUGACUUGAUAGUUUUCUUUUCUGUAUAUAAACUACUGAUUUGCAGAAGUAAAAUUGCAACAGAUUCAAACCA
This is a long non-coding RNA of Peromyscus californicus insignis, 3689 nucleotides long. RefSeq lists it as uncharacterized. The transcript has 2 exons. The record is from RefSeq and is a predicted model, not a curated record. Lineage: Eukaryota; Metazoa; Chordata; Mammalia; Rodentia; Cricetidae.